This 518-nucleotide ribosomal RNA is filed under the name uncultured bacterium. Its description in RNAcentral is "bacterial SSU rRNA". It matches the Rfam family "Bacterial small subunit ribosomal RNA", at positions 9 to 526 of the family's 1533-position model. The record is from RNAcentral.
GAGUUUGAUCCUGGCUCAGGAUGAACGCUGGCGGCGUGCUUAACACAUGCAAGUCGAGCGAAGCACUUUUGCUGAUUUCUUCGGAUUGAAGCAAUUGUGACUGAGCGGCGGACGGGUGAGUAACGCGUGGGUAACCUGCCUCAUACAGGGGGAUAACAGUUGGAAACGGCUGCUAAUACCGCAUAAGCGCACAGUACCGCAUGGUACCGUGUGAAAAACUCCGGUGGUAUGAGAUGGACCCGCGUCUGAUUAGCCAGUUGGCAGGGUAACGGCCUACCAAAGCGACGAUCAGUAGCCGACCUGAGAGGGUGACCGGCCACAUUGGGACUGAGACACGGCCCAAACUCCUACGGGAGGCAGCAGUGGGGAAUAUUGCACAAUGGGGGAAACCCUGAUGCAGCGACGCCGCGUGAGCGAAGAAGUAUUUCGGUAUGUAAAGCUCUAUCAGCAGGGAAGAAGAAUGACGGUACCUGACUAAGAAGCACCGGCUAAAUACGUGCCAGCCGCCGCGGUAAUAC